GGGCUUCUUGAUUGCUUAUUGCACCACAUGUGUUUUUCUUUGAAACAAACUUGCUUUGGCGGUGGGCCCAGCCUGCCGCCAGAGGUCUAAACUUACAACCAAUUUUUUAUCAACUUGUCACACCAGAUUAUUACUAAUAGUCAAAACUUUCAACAACGGAUCUCUUGGUUCUCGCAUCGAUGAAGAACGCAGCGAAAUGCGAUACGUAAUAUGAAUUGCAGAUAUUCGUGAAUCAUCGAAUCUUUGAACGCACAUUGCGCCCUCUGGUAUUCCGGAGGGCAUGCCUGUUUGAGCGUCGUUUCUCCCUCAAACCGCUGGGUUUGGUGUUGAGCAAUACGACUUGGGUUUGCUUGAAAGACGGUAGUGGUAAGGCGGGAUCGCUUUGACAAUGGCUUAGGUCUAACCAAAAACAUUGUUUGCGGCGGUAACGUCCACCACGUAUAUCUUCAAACUUUGACCUCAAAUCAGGUAGGACUACCCGCUGAACUUAAGCAUAUCAAAAGGCGGGAGGAA
RNAcentral lists this ribosomal RNA (513 nucleotides) under Candida albicans. Its description in RNAcentral is "eukaryotic LSU rRNA". The stretch from base 145 to 298 matches the Rfam family "5.8S ribosomal RNA". The record is from RNAcentral. Lineage: Eukaryota; Fungi; Ascomycota; Pichiomycetes; Serinales; Debaryomycetaceae.